AGAACGAACGCUGGCGGCAGGCUUAACACAUGCAAGUCGAGCGCUGUAGCAAUACAGAGCGGCGCACGGGAGAGUAAUACGUGGGAACCUACCUUUUGGUUCGGAAUAACGUCGGGAAACUGCUGCUAAUACCGCAUGACACCUGAGGGUCAAAGGCGCAAGUCGCCUGUGGAGGAGCCUGCGUCCGAUUAGCUAGUUGGUGGGGUAACGGCCUACCAAGGCGACGAUCGGUAGCUGGUCUGAGAGGAUGAUCAGCCACACUGGGACUGAGACACGGCCCAGACUCCUACGGGAGGCAGCAGUGGGGAAUAUUGGACAAUGGGCGCAAGCCUGAUCCAGCAAUGCCGCGUGGGUGAAGAAGGUCUUCGGAUUGUAAAGCCCUUUGGCGGGGACGAUGAUGACGGUACCCGCAGAAGAAGCCCCGGCUAACUUCGUGCCAGCAGUCGC
RNAcentral lists this ribosomal RNA (447 nucleotides) under uncultured bacterium. RNAcentral describes it as "SSU rRNA". It matches the Rfam family "Bacterial small subunit ribosomal RNA", at positions 26 to 518 of the family's 1533-position model. The record is from RNAcentral.